Molecule: ribosomal RNA, 429 nt
Filed under: Gemmatimonadota bacterium
Lineage: Bacteria; Pseudomonadati; Gemmatimonadota
Description: Gemmatimonadetes bacterium partial 16S ribosomal RNA
Rfam family: Bacterial small subunit ribosomal RNA
Source: RNAcentral
UAGGGAAUCUUCGGCAAUGGACGAAAGUCUGACCGAGCAACGCCGCGUGAGUGAAGAAGGUUUUCGGAUCGUAAAACUCUGUUGUUAGAGAAGAACAAGGACGUUAGUAACUGAACGUCCCCUGACGGUAUCUAACCAUAAAGCCACGGCUAACUACUUGCCAGCAGCCGCGGUAAUACGUAGGUGGCAAGCGUUGUCCGGAUUUAUUGGGCGUAAAGCGAGCGCAGGCGGUUUCUUAAGUCUGAUGUGAAAGCCCCCGGCUAAACCGGGGAGGGUCAUUGGAAACUGGGAGACUUUAGUGCAGAAGAGGAGAGUGGAAUUCCAUGUGUAGCGGUGAAAUGCGUAGAUAUAUGGAGGAACACCAGUGGCGAAGGCGGAUCUCUGGUCUGUAGCUGACGCUGAGGCUCGAAAGCGUGGGGAGCAAACAGG